GAUGAAGAACGUAGCGAAAUGCGAUAAGUAAUGUGAAUUGCAGAAUUCAGUGAAUCAUCGAAUCUUUGAACGCACCUUGCACCCUUUGGCAUUCCGAAGGGUAUGCUCGUUUGAGUGUCAUUGUACUCUCACUCUCCCGAUGCUUUUGGAUCGGGAGUGGUGGACUUGGGUGUUGCUGCUUUGCUGUGGCUCGCCUCAAAUGGAGUAGUGCAACUCUUGGUUGGACAUAGUACGGCGUGAUAAGUGUCUUCGCCGGCGCCUCAUUAUAGAGGGUGGCCGAUCUGGAGCUCUGUGCUUCAAACCGUCUUCGGACAACAUCUGACAACUUGACCUCAAAUCGAGUAGGACUACCCGCUGAACUUAAGCAUAUCAAUAAGCGGAGGA
Molecule: unclassified non-coding RNA, 384 nt
Filed under: soil metagenome
Description: partial contains 5.8S ribosomal RNA, internal transcribed spacer 2, and large subunit ribosomal RNA
Rfam family: 5.8S ribosomal RNA (bases 1-120)
Source: RNAcentral